Molecule: long non-coding RNA, 571 nt
Organism: Vicia villosa (hairy vetch)
Lineage: Eukaryota; Viridiplantae; Streptophyta; Magnoliopsida; Fabales; Fabaceae
Exons: 3
Source: RefSeq, a predicted model, not a curated record
CUCAUAAACAUAACGUUUUUCUUCACACCAAUAUUCAUUUAUUUCCAAUUCAACGUUUUCUCUGUAUUAUCUUCCCCAAUUUCUCAAGAUUUCGUUUUCAGCAUGCCUCGUCUUCUCUAGUUCAUCAUUCCUUCCCGGUUUUUUCAUCUCGAAGCUCGAUUCGAAGAUGGAUGGUGGUCAUGUUGAUGGGCAUGAAAAUCGGUGCUAAAAUAAGACUCACUGUUUGUAGAACUUGGACUUUCAAUGAUGGAUGAACAAGUUUUUCAGGUCUGCUGCAACAGCAAAUAAGUUAGAGGAAGCUGGUAACCAAAAUAUAGCAUGCAUAUCAUUGGACUUCAAACUGUGAAACCGGGUUUAGAUAAUCAUUUAUUUUAUUUUAUAUUUUAUUUUAUGUUAUCUUUAAGGAUAAGAAUCAAAAUGUGUCUAUUCUGCAGUGACAUUUGAACCGAUCAAUUUGACGGAGUUGCAGAAUGCUGGAAAAGCUGGUUUGGUGUAAAUCCAAGGGAAAAUUUUAGCUGGGUUAGGAAUUGUUUUUUUAGUAAGUAUUUUUAUAACUUUUGUAACAAUUUAG